ACUUUCAUCGAAUACGGCUUUCGACAUAAUUCUAUAGGGAUCUAUGAGAUCGAUUAUGGAAUUCUGUUUACUCACUUUAAAUUGAGUAUCCGUUUCCCUCCUUUCCCGAGGAUCAGAAAUCCUGUAUUUUCCAUAUCCAUACGACCGAGUCCUUAG
This 156-nucleotide ribosomal RNA is filed under the name Triticum aestivum (bread wheat). RNAcentral describes it as "partial small subunit ribosomal RNA". Lineage: Eukaryota; Viridiplantae; Streptophyta; Magnoliopsida; Poales; Poaceae. The record is from RNAcentral.